GACGAACGCUGGCGGCGUGCUUAACACAUGCAAGUCGAACGGAAGGGCCCUGCUUUUGUGGGGUGCUCGAGUGGCGAACGGGUGAGUAACACGUGAGUAACCUGCCCUUGACUUUGGGAUAACUUCAGGAAACUGGGGCUAAUACCGGAUAGGAGCUCCUGCUGCAUGGUGGGGGUUGGAAAGUUUCGGCGGUUGGGGAUGGACUCGCGGCUUAUCAGCUUGUUUGUGGGGUAGUGGCUUACCAAGGCUUUGACGGGUAGCCGGCCUGAGAGGGUGACCGGCGACAAUGGGACUGAGAUACGGCGCAGACGCCUACGGGAGGCAGCAGUGGGGAAUAUUGCACAAUGGGCCGAAGCCUGAUGCAGCAACGCCGCGUGCGGGAUGACGGCCUUCGGGUUGUAAACCGCUUUCGCCUGUGACGAAGCGUGAGUGACGGUAAUGGGUAAAGAAGCACCGGCUAACUACGUG
RNAcentral lists this ribosomal RNA (468 nucleotides) under uncultured bacterium. Its description in RNAcentral is "partial 16S ribosomal RNA". It matches the Rfam family "Bacterial small subunit ribosomal RNA", at positions 28 to 507 of the family's 1533-position model. The record is from RNAcentral.